This 497-nucleotide ribosomal RNA is filed under the name uncultured bacterium. RNAcentral describes it as "partial 16S ribosomal RNA". It matches the Rfam family "Bacterial small subunit ribosomal RNA", at positions 28 to 507 of the family's 1533-position model. The record is from RNAcentral.
GAUGAACGCUGGCGGCGUGCCUAAUACAUGCAAGUCGAGCGAACGGACGAGAAGCUUGCUUCUCUGAUGUUAGCGGCGGACGGGUGAGUAACACGUGGAUAACCUACCUAUAAGACUGGGAUAACUUCGGGAAACCGGAGCUAAUACCGGAUAAUAUUUUGAACCGCAUGGUUCAAAAGUGAAAGACGGUCUUGCUGUCACUUAUAGAUGGAUCCGCGCUGCAUUAGCUAGUUGGUAAGGUAACGGCUUACCAAGGCAACGAUGCAUAGCCGACCUGAGAGGGGGAUCGGCAACACUGGAACUGAGACACGGUCCAGACUCCGACGGGAGGCAGCAGUAGGGAAUCUUCCGCAAUGGUCGAAAGCCUGACGGAGCAACGCCGCGUGAGGGAUGAAGGUCUUCGGAUCGUAAAACUCUGUUAUGAGGGAAGAACAUAUGUGUAAGUAACUGUGCACAUCUUGACGGUACCUAAUCAGAAAGCCACGGCUAACUACGUG